Molecule: ribosomal RNA, 479 nt
Filed under: Mycobacterium arosiense
Lineage: Bacteria; Bacillati; Actinomycetota; Actinomycetes; Mycobacteriales; Mycobacteriaceae
Description: bacterial SSU rRNA
Rfam family: Bacterial small subunit ribosomal RNA
Source: RNAcentral
GCUGGCGGCGUGCUUAACACAUGCAAGUCGAACGGAAAGGCCCCUUCGGGGGUACUCGAGUGGCGAACGGGUGAGUAACACGUGGGCAAUCUGCCCUGCACUUCGGGAUAAGCCUGGGAAACUGGGUCUAAUACCGGAUAGGACCUUUAGGCGCAUGUCUAUUGGUGGAAAGCUUUUGCGGUGUGGGAUGGGCCCGCGGCCUAUCAGCUUGUUGGUGGGGUGAUGGCCUACCAAGGCGACGACGGGUAGCCGGCCUGAGAGGGUGUCCGGCCACACUGGGACUGAGAUACGGCCCAGACUCCUACGGGAGGCAGCAGUGGGGAAUAUUGCACAAUGGGCGCAAGCCUGAUGCAGCGACGCCGCGUGGGGGAUGACGGCCUUCGGGUUGUAAACCUCUUUCACCAUCGACGAAGGUCCGGGUUUUCUCGGAUUGACGGUAGGUGGAGAAGAAGCACCGGCCAACUACGUGCCAGCAGCCG